UUUUCCAUUCCCUGUUUGAUGCUAUCGUUUCGUUUCAUUUUGCAUCAAUUGUACAAUGCUCUGAGUGUCAGAUCUAAAAUCAAUUUCCUUCUCAUUGCGAUUCCAUUUUAACUUAACCAAUGCAAAUUUAAGUUGAAAUUUAAAAGAUACGUUUUGCGUAAAGUGCAAAAUUAAAGGCAAAUGUCUGCAACCUUCAGCCAAUGACAGUCAACCUUCAGACUGAAAAAUACUCGUACUUAACACAGACUAACACAAAUUACACAUACAUUAUGCAAAUGCAGAGCGGCAAAACUUUUUAGCUGUCUCCGAGUGCAAUUUAAUGACGAUAAGGCAAAAAAAAGGCAGAGUGCAAUUUGAAUUUAAUGUGUGCGGCGAGAUAGAAAAUUAAAUUAUGCUCGUUCUAGAGAGCAAAAAGGUCAUCGCUGCAAGCAAAACACAAAAGUUAAUUCUACACAAAUUUAAUGAGCAAUUUUUUGAUUUAAUUUAAUUUAAAAAUGUUUGGUAUGUUGAAUACCGGAUUUACUUUGCCACAUUUGCAGUCUGAUUACAGCCAUUCAUAUUCUCUUUGUGUUAAGCUUUAUCUGCAUUAAUAAAAUUAAAUUGAUACAAGCCAA
Long non-coding RNA from Drosophila sulfurigaster albostrigata, 614 nucleotides. RefSeq lists it as uncharacterized. NCBI's taxonomy places the organism in Eukaryota, Metazoa, Arthropoda, Insecta, Diptera, Drosophilidae. The record is from RefSeq and is a predicted model, not a curated record. The transcript has 2 exons.